RNAcentral lists this ribosomal RNA (440 nucleotides) under uncultured bacterium. RNAcentral's name for it is "partial 16S ribosomal RNA". It matches the Rfam family "Bacterial small subunit ribosomal RNA", at positions 338 to 795 of the family's 1533-position model. The record is from RNAcentral.
CCUACGGGAGGCUGCAGUAGGGAAUAUUGCACAAUGGGGGAAACCCUGAAGCAGCAACGCCGCGUGGAUGAUGAAGGUUUUCGGAUCGUAAACUCCUGUUGUUAGAGAAGAUAAUGACGGUAUCUAACGAAUCAGCAUCGGCUAACUCCGUGCCAGCAGCCGCGGUAAUACGGAGGGUCCGAGCCUUAGUCGGAAUUACGGGGCGUAGAGAGCGCGGAGGCGGGUUUGCAAGUCAGAUGUGAAAGCCUAUGGCUUAACCAUAGGACUGCAUUUGAAACUGUUAGUCUUGAGUACGGAAGAGGUAGGUGGAAUUCUUUGUGUAGGGGUAAAAUCCGUAGAGAUCAAGAGGAAUACUCAUGGCGAAGGCGACCUGCUAGAACGUAACUGACGCUGAUGCUCGAAAGCGUGGGGAGCAAACAGGAUUAGAUACCCGUGUAGUC